RNAcentral lists this ribosomal RNA (253 nucleotides) under uncultured bacterium. RNAcentral's name for it is "partial 16S ribosomal RNA". It matches the Rfam family "Bacterial small subunit ribosomal RNA", at positions 524 to 776 of the family's 1533-position model. The record is from RNAcentral.
UACGGAGGAUCCAAGCGUUAUCCGGAUUUAUUGGGUUUAAAGGGUGCGUAGGCGGCCUGUUAAGUCAGGGGUGAAAGACGGUAGCUCAACUAUCGCAGUGCUUUUGAUACUGAUGGGCUUGAAUAAACUUGAGGUAGGCGGAAUGAGACAAGUAGCGGUGAAAUGCAUAGAUAUGUCUCAGAACACCAAUUGCGAAGGCAGCUUACUAAGGUUUAAUUGACGCUGAGGCACGAAAGCGUGGGGAUCAAACAGG